GAAGAGGAGCGAGGAAAAUCAAGAUGGAGACCACAGAGCAGGAUGAUCUAGAUCCAGGUGGACUGGGUCGAUUUCGUGUUGUGUAGAAGAGGAAGUUGGACCACUUGAAGCUGGAGGUGCAGACAGUCGUGAGCUGACAUGUGGUCGCUGAGAACUGAAAUUAGAUCCUGUGGACCAGCAGAAACUCCGUCUGGAUGGCUGCAGUACCGUGAGGGUGAGCAAGAGGACCAAGAAAUACAUGACGCUGUGUUCCGGCCUCCCUGGCUUUUCCACAUCAAGCAAGCUGAUUCCAAUGUGGACCCACAGUAAUCUCAUUAAAAGGCAAUUCUUUCUGCAUCAGUCACUCCCACUAGCUUGUAUAAUAUCCUCAGGGGAGCUGAAGUCCCACCAGCGUCCUCGUUUUCAUUUAUUUGAUUUAUGUCUAGUGACUUAACCUUAGACCCUGGUGUUUACUUAACUGAAAGACAUAUAAAGGGAAAAUCCAGUCAUGGUUAGUGUUCUUUUAGCUAUAGAUAGGCAGACUUAAUCCUAG
RNAcentral lists this small RNA (532 nucleotides) under Rattus norvegicus (Norway rat). RNAcentral describes it as "uncharacterized LOC102555049". The record is from RNAcentral. Lineage: Eukaryota; Metazoa; Chordata; Mammalia; Rodentia; Muridae.